This 170-nucleotide ribosomal RNA is filed under the name uncultured Streptococcus sp. Its description in RNAcentral is "partial 16S ribosomal RNA". It matches the Rfam family "Bacterial small subunit ribosomal RNA", at positions 1215 to 1382 of the family's 1533-position model. Lineage: Bacteria; Bacillati; Bacillota; Bacilli; Lactobacillales; Streptococcaceae. The record is from RNAcentral.
UACACACGUGCUACAAUGGUUGGUACAACGAGUUGCGAGUCGGUGACGGCGAGCUAAUCUACUUAAAGACCAAUCUCAGUUCGGAUUGUAGGCUGCAACUCGCCUACAUGAAGUCGGAAUCGCUAGUAAUCGCGGAUCAGCACGCCGCGGUGAAUACGUUCCCGGGCCUU